AGUGGCGGACGGGUGAGUAACGCGUGAGAAUCUGCCUUGGGGUCGGGGACAACCACUGGAAACGGUGGCUAAUACCGGAUAAGCCGAUUGGUGAAAGAUUUAUUGCCCGAAGAGGAGCUCGCGUCUGAUUAGCUAGUUGGUGAGGUAAGAGCUCACCAAGGCAGCGAUCAGUAGCUGGUCUGAGAGGACGAUCAGCCACACUGGGACUGAGACACGGCCCAGACUCCUACGGGAGGCAGCAGUGGGGAAUUUUCCGCAAUGGGCGAAAGCCUGACGGAGCAAGACCGCGUGAGGGAGGAAGGCUCUUGGGUUGUAAACCUCUUUUCUCAGGGAAGAAGCUCUGACGGUACCUGAGGAAUCAGCCUCGGCUAACUCCGUGCCAGCAGCCGCGGUAAUACGGAGGAGGCAAGCGUUAUCCGGAAUUAUUGGGCGUAAAGCGUCCGCAGGUGGCGAUUCAAGUCUGCUGUCAAAGCACGGGGCUUAACUCCGUAAAGGCAGUGGAAACUGAAUAGCUAGAGUGCCGUAGGGGUAGAGGGAAUUCCCGGUGUAGCGGUGAAAUGCGUAGAGACCGGGAAGAACAUCGGUGGCGAAAGCGCUCUACUGGACGGCAACUGACACUCAGGGACGAAAGCUAGGGGAGCGAAUGGGAUUAGAUACCCC
This 660-nucleotide ribosomal RNA is filed under the name uncultured bacterium. RNAcentral's name for it is "bacterial SSU rRNA". It matches the Rfam family "Bacterial small subunit ribosomal RNA", at positions 94 to 788 of the family's 1533-position model. The record is from RNAcentral.